This 91-nucleotide ribosomal RNA is filed under the name Limosilactobacillus fermentum. Its description in RNAcentral is "Lactobacillus fermentum partial 23S ribosomal RNA". It matches the Rfam family "Bacterial large subunit ribosomal RNA", at positions 2835 to 2925 of the family's 2925-position model. The record is from RNAcentral. Lineage: Bacteria; Bacillati; Bacillota; Bacilli; Lactobacillales; Lactobacillaceae.
CCCACAGAGAUGAUGUGGUAGAUAGGAUGGAAGUGGAAGUGCGGUGACGCAUGGAGCGGACCAUUACUAAUCGGUCGAGGACUUAACCAAG